This is a long non-coding RNA of Lynx canadensis (Canada lynx), 106 nucleotides long. RefSeq lists it as uncharacterized. The record is from RefSeq and is a predicted model, not a curated record. NCBI's taxonomy places the organism in Eukaryota, Metazoa, Chordata, Mammalia, Carnivora, Felidae. The transcript is spliced from 3 exons.
AGGGUGUCUCUUAUCACUGCCAGUUAACAGCAGGAAUACUCAGAAGGCCAGAAAGCAGCCCCAAACAGUUCUGUACUCUAUAUAGGAAUAGGACUCGUCUGAACUC